AUGGUUUUCCUAGGAAGGGGAAGGAUCCGUGUCGAUGCUGACAGUGUUCAGAGGAUCACUACAUGGCUCAAGAUGAUUGAGCAUAUGGCUGGAAGAACGGAUGACACAUUUUUUAUGGCCUGGCUUGCGGUUGCCUUCAGUACUUUUCUAGCACCAACCACGGCCUUGAAGCUCAGCCCAAAGUGUUAUGGACUUGUGCUAGAUCAUCAAAUGCUAAAGAAUACAAACAUCUGCCUCUUUGUAGCAGAACACAUUAAUGAAGAUUUCCGGAACAUGGACCAGGAGAAGCAAAUUGUUUGCUGCUGCUUGUAUCACUUGAUGAUACUAUACCUUGAUGCGCUCGUACAUGACAUCCCAGUAAGCAACUGCGCGAUACGAUCGAAUGCAUGGGAUAGUACUCUAAUUGCCAAGGUGAUCAAGAAGAAUACUAUCUCUCCUGGUGUGUUCGGCAAAUUACAACUUAAAGAGGAGUAUAGAGGCACGGAGCAGACACCACUGUUUGGUGGAAUUUUGCAAGCUGAAGCAUUUGUGGCAUCCAAGUUACCAAUAACAUACAAUCCGAAGAAAAAGGCAAAAAUUGCGAAAGUGCAGCCAUCAAUGCAAACUGGGGCAUCACGCCGUGCUCCAAAAAGAAAGAGAUGGCGGUCAACUAUACAAGAAGAAGAAGAAUUUGUUGAGGAUGAUUCAGAAGAAGAUGAGGAAAUGGGAGCAGCGAUAGAUGCUGACGACGAUGAGGAGACAGAUGCGGAUGAAUCAGAGGAGGAGGACAAGGAUGAGGAUGACAAUGAAGAAGAUGCAGAGGAGGAGGAGGAGGAGGAGGACAAACAAGAAGAGGACAAAGGAAAGGAGGAGAACAAGGAAGAAGAUAGUGAUGCAGAGAAGGAGGAAGAAGAAGGUGAGGCCAGAGAGGGGGACGGGGACAAAGGGGCAGCAGUUGAUGGCAGUGAGAGGGGAGAAGACAAAGGCGCAGCAGCUGAUGGCAGUGAGAGGGAAGAAGACGAGGAUGAAGAAGACGAGGAUGAUUAUGGUGAUGAUAAAGGGGGAUCCAAUGAAGGCAGCGACAGCAGCGAUAACGAUGAUGAUGACAACGCUCCUGGUUCUGGUGGUACAGGUGGCAACCAUUCCAGGAGGACUAGCACUCACGCCACCCCUGCGAGCAGCAGCAAUUCAUUGAGUAGCAGGAGCACACUACAGUUGUUGAUUGACAAGACUUGCUGGAAAGACAAGGAUUUGCCAAAGUCAAAGAAAAAUGACGAAGCAGAGUCUCAGGGAAGCAUUGAUAUGUUCAAGCUCUGCAACUUGAAGCCAGCUUUGCCAACCACCUUUCCCGUGCCAGAUUUCAGCGACAAAGAUAUGUGUGAGAAGAUCAACUUUGCCAUUGACAAGAGCCUGUUCUUAUCAACUGAUGCUGAAAAGAAUCAAAUUGACAUGGAGGAAGCAGGAAAGGGUCUUGACUGGGUUCAUUCAAAGGAAAAAUACAAGGAAUAUUUAAAGAAGCUCCCAGACCUAAGCUCCAGCAAGAGCAAGGCAGCAUCCACGGCAAACCCUCACGUGGUCCAGAAGUGUAAAGCAGUUUCAAUGAAGAAGAAUCUGCAGUUGCCUCAAACCAAGGAUAAGAUGGUGAGUGAAGAUGCUGAAGUAAAUAUGGUCAAGGAAGCUGUGCUUCAAACUGAUAUGCCAACAGUAGUGAGCAGAGAGCCAACCAAUGUCAGAGAAGUUCAACAAAUCAAGGGGAAGACUCCCCUUUCAACAGUCCCACCAAAACCACCUAAGCAGAAGAUUGUCAAGUUUGCCAGGGGCGCAAAGGGGGAACAGGCCACAAAAGAUUUGGGGUUCAGAGACGAGAGAGAGCUGCGAGCCGCAGCCAUUGAUGCAGGGGUGCCAAGUUCUGCCAGGUUGCUGCCAACUCAGACUGGAAAGAUGCCAACUACAGAUACCAGUGUGCCAACUGAUGUGUCAGUUAGCAGUAUGGUCACAGUCAAAACCACCACAGCUGGUCAGGAAGGCACCACUGCAACUGCAAGUCCCAAGGUGCCUACUGAUAGAGAUGCUUCAAUGCCAAACUCAAAAGGAGGUGAUCCAACUAUCAAAGUGCCGUCCCCAAGAGUUGUCUUUCAGCAACCAUUAACACAAGAGGAGGUGUUCGACAUUAUAAGUAGGUGCAAGCCUCCAAGGCCGCCAACUACAACACUAUUGCGAACCAAGUCAGUGAAUGAUGCACCCAUGUUUGUGCCGCAAGGAAAUGCCCUGGUCCUUGAACCCUUACGAAGAUCAAACUCUUAUCAUGGUGACGGGUUCUGCGAUGCACCAUCUUUUGACCUCGGCAUAGAUGGUGAUGCUCUAGCACCUGCUCCAGCAAUAGAUACAGCGGAAGCCGGUGUGAUUAGCAUCGAUGAGUCAUCUCAAAGGUCUCCAUUCAUCGACUACAACAAGAACAAGACUUUCAGCACCAAUGAGGUAGUGAACAAGCUUUACGCUGCCCUCUUGUAUUGGGUCAGGCAUCACAAAGGAGCAAAUGAUGGAGCUACCAGGUAUGGUGCUUUCUACAUUUCUUUAAAGGAGUUAGUUGAUUCGAUGAAGCCGGUUCAAUGGUUGUCAAAAAUUGUUAUUGAGACUGGAAUCUUACACAUCAUGGAUAACUUACCAGAAGGGUCAAAGAAGGUUGUUAUGCCACUGAGGUUUUCUAUAAAAUUACAGCAAGGGAUCCACAAUGUGGAUGAGAUGAACAAGAAGUUUGAUUACAAGAACCGUCUCGACAAGAAAGACUUGCUACAUCUUGUAUUUGUGUCUGAAAUCGUUCACGCUUGCAGGUCAUGCUGCCAGUGCUCGAGUGCGCAGAUGUAA
Molecule: ribosomal RNA, 2844 nt
Filed under: Triticum aestivum (bread wheat)
Lineage: Eukaryota; Viridiplantae; Streptophyta; Magnoliopsida; Poales; Poaceae
Description: partial small subunit ribosomal RNA
Source: RNAcentral